GAUUUUGCUGUAGGUCCCUGCAUACUUGAGGCCUUCUGGAGGUGGGGAAUGAAAAUGGCAUCUCUAAGCCUUGAAGCAGAGAUCUCUAUCAUGUCAAGAUCCUUCCCUAUGAAGUUCAGGUUUGAUGACUGGAAGUUUCUCUGUAAUUGGUGAAGAUAUGAUAUCCAUGUUAAAGUCAUUCUGAGGAACAGAAUGGGGUUGGAAUCAUGUAAAAAUUAUCCACUGCUACCUUUCCAGUUAAAUAAAGUGGAGAUCAUCUAUUACUGUCAAACAGAGUUAUUUUAGAAGUAAUCGUUUCAGUAGAGUGAGGAGGAUAAACGUCUUUUUGUCACUACCUUGGCAGAUAUUUAAGCUCUCCACACCCCUGCAGUGGCAUUUUCUUGGGAUUAUGUAUGUGAAACGUAUCAUUUACUCAUCCAAGACUGUGGUGACACUGGUUAUGCUGCACUAGAGUGGGCUCGGAUGUGCUCUGGCUAUCUCCCAAGUCACAGCAGGCAAUCCACUUUGUGCGGUGUGUGUCCGCAUGAGUGACUGAUAACUGUGGCUCUGUUUCUGAGAGCAUUUGCUAGGUACAAACAGUGACUAGCAAUAUCAUUUCUACUUCACUGUUUAAUACGUUAUUUCAACAUGUCUGACAAGGCCUAAAUGUUUCACUUUCUGCUGUGUCAGGAAAAAAAAACACAUGCAGUCAUAAGAAAUGGAAGGCAAAUGGCAUGGCAUGGCAUCUAUGGAGACACCUGCUGGUGUUAAUGAAAUAAGCAGAAGAGCUCUGACUUUGGCCAGCACUACAGUAGCAACCCAGAGCUAACUGCAUCAGCUCACAGAUCUUACUGAGCUUAAAGUUACAGGAGCAAUGUUGGGUGAAAGGAGAAGUGGUGACCAGAAGGUAGAGGUUUUGGAGAUCUUACGGUUCCUUGAGACCAGCUUUUCUGCUCUCCUCACAAACAGCUUGGGAAUCUUUAAUUUCAGAAAAAGCACCUGGCUUAUUCCAAGACCCAAGAUGGUGCGUUUUGCAAAUAUUGUGCAUGCUUCCUGCCAGUUUCACUGGGUGUGCAGCCUCUAGGACAGCUAUGCACACUAGCACUGGGCAAUGGAAAAUAUACUGCCAAGAGCUUUGCUGCUUGUGAAAAAUGCCAGUGCUGCUAGCAAAUACAGAGGAUUUGGGAAACCUGUUCAAUGUGAUAUCUAGUAAGCAGCAAGAAAUUUUCAUGCAAUUACAGAGUGAAAUAAAAUGUCAGACAGUCAAGAAAGCUAUUAUCAUUUAUCCUUUCCAGAGCCAAGCCUUGUCUUCAGGGGACACAGAGACUCCUGCUACACCACAGUCACAGCCCAGAGAAAAGUGACAGCAAACUCAAUGCUGUUCUCAGCUUAUCUGCCAAGACUGAUGUAAUGCUGAAGAAGCUGAAGUUCAAUGACAGAAGCAGAAAGGAAAAAUUGUUUCCUAUCUAAAAUCAAAUAAAUGAAGUAUGAAACUACCCACUCAUCUUGACUUUCAUGAAGAAGAUCAGCACACACAAAAAAAGCUGUAAUUCUUAUGUUCGCACAAAAAAUUACAGAGACCAUGACCUUACAGCACUUGCCUUUGCUCAUUGCUUGCCCUGUGCUCAACACAUUGCUGAGGGCCCUUCUUGCAGUUUGUGCAGCAUGGCAGGGAAGGUACAGCAGCUCCCAUGUCAACUGGGGAGAAGUAAAAUGUAAUGACAGCUCUGAUGAAACUGCAGUAGCAAAUGGCCGCUUGAACUGCCUCAAAGCUUGCGUGAAGAGAACAGCUCUGAAGAUCCACAGCUUCACGUGCAACUUCUUUGUUGUCAGACCAACAUGAUGUGACAUUUAUAAGGAAUCUUCUGGGAACUGGGGGGGAUAUGCUGGAGCUUUUCCAUGUCCAGUAAACAGACUGCUUCCAGGGUGGAGCAUGAAUUUCUGCUUCAUGUGCUGAGUGAAGAUUGAUGAUUUGGAAGCCACUUUGCUUGAGCUUCCUGAACCUUUUAAGAAUCUCACAGAGUAAGAAGACAGAGUAUCAUUCUUCCAAGCUAAAAGCUCCUUUCAGGUAAAUGUGCUGUGUUUGAAGAAUAUUUCAUCAUAUCCAUAGUGGCCAUAAAAUAUAUGAUUGGCUGUAGCGUACAACUGUGCAGAUCUUUGCUGCAAACCUAGGAGAGACCAGUCUUACAAAAGACACUGCUGAUGGGAUAAAAGCCCUAAAAGCUCUGGUACUGAACUGUAUGGUAUUUCCCUCAACAUCUACAAAUGCACUUAACGGCCUGGAUUUUCCAUCAGCUCCUUGCAACUAUCAUCAGGAGAGACAUAAUGCUUUAAUAAGUCUUUAAGGAUAGAAGAGUAACACUACCAACCAGAAAUGUGUCUUUUUUAGUUAUUUAUAAUUCAUCCUUAGGCAAGACCUUCUGAUAACAAGUCUGUUUUUAAGAG
Long non-coding RNA from Gallus gallus (chicken), 2424 nucleotides. Lineage: Eukaryota; Metazoa; Chordata; Aves; Galliformes; Phasianidae. The record is from Ensembl.